GGCGACGUAGCCAAGCGGUAAGGCAGAGGUCUGCAAAACCUUUAUUCAGCGGUUCAAAUCCGCUCGUCGCCUCCA
This 75-nucleotide transfer RNA is filed under the name Desulfobulbus sp. RNAcentral's name for it is "tRNA-Cys". It matches the Rfam family "tRNA". From Rfam's summary of the family: Transfer RNA (tRNA) molecules are approximately 80 nucleotides in length. Their secondary structure includes four short double-helical elements and three loops (D, anti-codon, and T loops). RNAcentral also lists the same sequence under 20 other names. The record is from RNAcentral. Lineage: Bacteria; Pseudomonadati; Thermodesulfobacteriota; Desulfobulbia; Desulfobulbales; Desulfobulbaceae.